RNAcentral lists this ribosomal RNA (274 nucleotides) under uncultured bacterium. RNAcentral describes it as "partial 16S ribosomal RNA". It matches the Rfam family "Bacterial small subunit ribosomal RNA", at positions 524 to 793 of the family's 1533-position model. The record is from RNAcentral.
UACGAAGGGGGCUAGCGUUGUUCGGAUUUACUGGGCGUAAAGCGCACGUAGGCGGAUUGUUAAGUCGGGGGUGAAAUCCUGGAGCUCAACUCCAGAACUGCCUUCGAUACUGGCAAUCUCGAGUCCGGAAGAGGUAAGUGGAACUCCUAGUGUAGAGGUGGAAUUCGUAGAAUAUUAGGAAGAACACCAGUGGCGAAGGCGGCUUACUGGUCCGGUACUGACGCUGAGGUGCGAAAGCGUGGGGAGCAAACAGGAAUUAGAUACCCGUGGUAAG